This 1017-nucleotide long non-coding RNA is filed under the name Anas platyrhynchos platyrhynchos (common mallard). RNAcentral's name for it is "lncRNA (ENSAPLG00000022539.1)". Lineage: Eukaryota; Metazoa; Chordata; Aves; Anseriformes; Anatidae. The record is from RNAcentral.
CGGGUAAAAUAAUAGUGUUUUGUUAUCUUUGUGUAUUUGAAAAAAAAUGUAUAUUUUGACUUCUUUUUACUUACUUGCACUUACUUCGCACGUAAUUCUGUAAUUACUUUGAGCAAACAGUAUCUUUAGGUCCAGCAAUUUCUAUACUGGUAGAAAAAGUUAAAUGAGUAAAUGUAAUACCUGAUAUUUUUCACCUUGAAGAAGUCAGUUUUCGUGUUAACAACAGCUGGCACAGAGAUUGCAUCCUUUGUGCAAGGGUUGACUGCAAAGGACUUCAACUAGCAAAUCUUUGCUACUCAAUAGGCUGCAGUCUUUUGGGGAGAAAAUGUGUUUUUAGUAGUAGAGCUACUACUUUCAUCAUCAGAGCCUUCAGCUAUGACAGCAGUAGAAACUGUUGAGUACCCCUAUUAGCAAUGACACAUUCUACCUUUCUUCGUUUGUUUUAAUAAAAGAUCCAGAUAUUCCCACAUGCCACUUCUUCCCUGUUUUAUUUACCCAGUGGAAGUAGUGCCCGCACUUUAACUCUCAUGUCUUCAGUGCAGUUUUAAUUUGAAUGUCUGCUAUUACGGACAUUUCUAUAUUGUUCUGAGGUCUCACCAGCUGCCACGAUCAAGUGGCAGCCCACCCCAAGCUCAGAAGCUCUGCUGAAAUCCACCCUUUGCUACAGCACGUCUAGGAUCUAUCCAUCCGCGGCAUGUCCUUGUCACAGGCAAGCCACUGGAGUUAAUCCCACGGUUCCCUGUAUUGCAUCCUACAUCUUCCAUCUGCAUCAACCUUCGUCCUCUCCCUGGGGAACACACAACUGUUGUUUUCAUCUUCGAAACAGUCCGGUACCAGGACGAGGAGUUGCUUACUGUGCAGGGGAUGCGAAUUCAGGUGAGAGAUUGAAGCCUGAAAGGCAUUUUUUUUUUUUUUUAUGAUGGAGAUGCAUUAUUUAUGUGUGGUUUUGAAAGUAAAAACAUAACAAUUAAAGAUGCAUUGUAGCCUUAAAGCAACUGUUUUGCUAUGCCAAAGUGG